RNAcentral lists this small nuclear RNA (125 nucleotides) under Suricata suricatta (meerkat). RNAcentral describes it as "U2 spliceosomal RNA (ENSSSUG00005000096.1)". It matches the Rfam family "U2 spliceosomal RNA". Rfam says of the family: U2 is a small nuclear RNA (snRNA) component of the spliceosome (involved in pre-mRNA splicing). Complementary binding between U2 snRNA (in an area lying towards the 5' end but 3' to hairpin I) and the branchpoint sequence (BPS) of the intron results the bulging out of an unpaired adenosine, on the BPS, which initiates a nucleophilic attack at the intronic 5' splice site, thus starting the first of two transesterification reactions that mediate splicing. The record is from Rfam by way of RNAcentral. Lineage: Eukaryota; Metazoa; Chordata; Mammalia; Carnivora; Herpestidae.
AUCGCUUCUCGGCCUCUUGGCUAAGAUCAAGUGUAGUAGCUGUUCUUAUCAGUUUAAACCUGAAUGUUCUAAAUACACUAUUAAGACAGAUUAUCAGAAUACAUUAAAAAAAAAAAAGACCCAAC